CUGUAUCCCUGCCAUCCAGGACUUUUUGUUUUUAAGAAAGAGGCGAAGAGUGAAGAGAGCCCAUUAUUGAUGUACUACUACCCAGGCGAAAGACCUGUGUGAAGCGUCAGAGCGACCACCAGCUCUGUAGUGACACAAUGACAGAAGCUCUUCUUGGGGGAUGCUGGCUCUGAAACAUGUGGAACAUGUGCCAUUUUGGCUAAAUAACACUUCAGUUACAUGGUCCCUUUUAGUUAAAAUGUAUAUGAAAGUGUUAGUCGGUCAAUUAAGAAACCUAAUACCAAAACUUUUUAUUAAAGAUCAUACAUUAAAAAGAAGAAAAAAUAAAUAAAUAAAUAAAAACAAAACAAAAAACAAAAAAACCUCCAAAGUGUGAAUUAGUUUCACCUAGUCACCAUGCAUCUUGGACACAUACUUACCCACCAUGAACCUCCAGCUUACCAACACACGGAAAUGCACAGUCUAAACAGUACUACCGGUCCGAUGCCUCAAGGCAAAUAUGUAGAGAAUAAAUUCAAUCACAAUCUCAAGUGUCAGACAGCACAGAAAUGCAAGAAAGGAUGCCCUGAGAACUCCUGCCCAAAGCUCCCUUAGCUACUGUACUCAUCCACAGCGGCCGCCCAAGUCUGCCACUUCAACACUGUAUCUAAAACUUGAAAGGCACUGUCAAAAACCCUGGUGGGUUCCUAGCUUUAGGGAUCCAUCGUUAGAGUCAGUAAACAUGGCAACUCUGCCUCCGGGCAUGUGAUACGUCGCCAGCAGAGGCUUGCUAGCCCUUGCCACACAACGCUCAGCUUACUCAAAGCACUGCCAAGACAUGGCUGCCCUGAGACGGUUGCUUCACAGUAGCAUCUAAUCAACAGGCAGGUGCUAUGUGGGACCCGGAUCAGUUCAGAUUCCUGCAGCCCCAGGAAAGCAAGCCAGAGGUUUCCUCUUCUGCAGCUCUUUGUUCUUAACAGUCUAGCUGACAA
RNAcentral lists this long non-coding RNA (971 nucleotides) under Rattus norvegicus (Norway rat). Its description in RNAcentral is "long non-coding RNA NONRATT007160". The record is from RNAcentral. Lineage: Eukaryota; Metazoa; Chordata; Mammalia; Rodentia; Muridae.